RNAcentral lists this ribosomal RNA (497 nucleotides) under uncultured bacterium. RNAcentral describes it as "partial 16S ribosomal RNA". It matches the Rfam family "Bacterial small subunit ribosomal RNA", at positions 28 to 507 of the family's 1533-position model. The record is from RNAcentral.
GAUGAACGCUGGCGGCGUGCCUAAUACAUGCAAGUCGAGCGAACGGACGAGAAGCUUGCUUCUCUGAUGUUAGCGGCGGACGGGUGAGUAACACGUGGAUAACCUACCUAUAAGACUGGGAUAACUUCGGGAAACCGGAGCUAAUACCGGAUAAUAUUUUGAACCGCAUGAUUCAAAAGUGAAAGACGGUCUUGCUGUCACUUAUAGAUGGAUCCGCGCUGCAUUAGCUAGUUGGUAAGGUAACGGCUUACCAAGGCAACGAUGCAUAGCCGACCUGAGAGGGUGAUCGGCCAAACUGGAACUGAGACACGGUCCAGACUCCUACGGGAGGCAGCAGUAGGGAAUCUUCCGCAAUGGGCGAAAGCCUGACGGAGCAACGCCGCGUGAGUGAUGAAGGUCUUCGGAUCGUAAAACUCUGUUAUUAGGGAAGAACAUAUGUGUAAGUAACUGUGCACAUCUUGACGGUACCUAAUCAGAAAGCCACGGCUAACUACGUG